UACGUAGGGUGCAAGCGUUGUCCGGAAUUAUUGGGCGUAAAGAGCUCGUAGGCGGUUCGUCACGUCGGCUGUGAAAUCCCGAGGCUCAACCUCGGGUCUGCAGUCGAUACGGGCGGACUGGAGUACUGCAGGGGAGACUGGAAUUCCUGGUGUAGCGGUGAAAUGCGCAGAUAUCAGGAGGAACACCGGUGGCGAAGGCGGCUUGCUGGGCCAGUUCUGACGCUGAGGAGCGAAAGCGUGGGGAGCGAACAGG
This 253-nucleotide ribosomal RNA is filed under the name uncultured bacterium. Its description in RNAcentral is "partial 16S ribosomal RNA". It matches the Rfam family "Bacterial small subunit ribosomal RNA", at positions 524 to 776 of the family's 1533-position model. The record is from RNAcentral.